GUCGUCGUGGCCGAGUGGUUAAGGCGACAGACUUGAAAACUGUUGGGCUCUGCCCGCACAGGUUCGAAUCCUGUCGGCGACG
Molecule: non-coding RNA, 82 nt
Organism: Ciona savignyi (Pacific transparent sea squirt)
Lineage: Eukaryota; Metazoa; Chordata; Ascidiacea; Phlebobranchia; Cionidae
Source: Rfam